GUUCCAGACUCCUACGGGAGGCAGCAGUGGGGAAUAUUGCACAAUGGGGGAAACCCUGAUGCAGCGACGCCGCGUGAGUGAAGAAGUAUUUCGGUAUGUAAAGCUCUAUCAGCAGGGAAGAUAAUGACGGUACCUGACUAAGAAGCCCCGGCUAACUACGUGCCAGCAGCCGCGGUAAUACGUAUGGAGCAAGCGUUAUCCGGAUUUACUGGGUGUAAAGGGAGCGCAGGCGGCGCGCCAAGUCUGGUGUGAAACCCCGGGGCUCAACCCCGGGACUGCAUUGGAAACUGGCGUGCUGGAGUGUCGGAGGGGCAGGCGGAAUUCCUGGUGUAGCGGUGAAAUGCGUAGAUAUCAGGAGGAACACCGGUGGCGAAGGCGGCCUGCUGGACGACAACUGACGCUGAGGCUCGAAAGCGUGGGGAGCAAACAGGAUUAGAUACCCUCGUA
Molecule: ribosomal RNA, 447 nt
Filed under: uncultured bacterium
Lineage: Bacteria
Description: bacterial SSU rRNA
Rfam family: Bacterial small subunit ribosomal RNA
Source: RNAcentral